UUUUCUCUGACUAUAAGGCUUAAGUUAUCUAUAUUUUUUAGUACGCAAUUGAUUAAAAAACACAAAUAUAUGACAAAUAUUGAUCAAUCAUUGUUAAACAUUAAAAGUAGUGCUUUGUUUAGAAAUCUACCUUUUAGUGAGAUAGAUGGGGCUUUUAAAAAAUUAGUUGAUUUAUCUAUGAUGAAUAUUUGUUAUUGCCAGAAUGAGAGAAGAAUCAUCUUCAAUGUUAUCUGAUUUAUUAUUUGUUCUAGCUGUAAGCUUCAAGGAACUUCAAUCACAGAAAUAAGUAAUGAUACUGGAAGAAACUCUUUUAGGCAAUGUAACUCAAUUCUUCGAAUAAUUUCUGAGUUAUUUGCCAAAAAUGACCUCGUGCUCUUUCAGUUUUUUUUUUUUGAUGAUAAGUGGACGUCUGGCUUAGUUUUGCUUCAAUGGUGUUGACAGCAAGAGAAAGCCACCUGAUGUGCAGAAGGAUUUGGUACCCAGUCAUUAGUCAUUCACUUUCCCAGCACAGAUACCCAUAUUUAAAAUUGUCCCUAUGAUGGACUUCCCACAGAUUUCCAUGCCCCAAACAGUGCACAUUUGUAACCUUCGAUUGUGUGGCAAGUAAACUCUUCUUUUUUAAUGGGAGAAAAAGGGCUUGGAUAAAGAAAGAUGGGAACAGAGUACUAUAACAACACAACGCAGCACAGCACAACAAACACAGCAUAACAUAAUGUAACUUAUUGUAACAUAAUAUAACACAAAGUAACAUACCAGCGUGUAACAGUUGCCCAGAGAUUUCCAAGGCUAUCCAGUUUAUCAGUUUUAGAAGUUACCAAGAUUGUCAGUUUUAGAAAUGAAUACAAAUGGAAUAUGAAGAUACAAAGAAAGUUGAUUCCCCUAAAAUUAUUUGAAUCUAUACCUAUCCCUUGAAAACUGUUUGUACACCCUAGGUUGAAAUCACUCGUUUAUCCCAAAAGCCAGUCUGUGAUGGAGCUUUCCAUAAGCCUGAUGCCAAAUUAGGUUGUGGCAGUAGGGGAAAGUGUUGAAUUUACUGAGUUUAAAUAACGCUUCCUUAUUUUUCUAUAAUGUCUUCUGCAUCAGGGAAAAAAAAAAAGAUGAUGCUGGGAGGUGUUAAUAGUGAUUUUGAAAGCCCGUGCUAUGUUCUUCCUCAUUUAUUAUGCUUUCGAAAUUGUGCCGGUUAGGAAAGCCUGAAUUAGGCUGAGGUGGUAAACAACCCCAGAUCUCAGUGACUUGAGAACAACUUUUAUUUCUGCUCAUGCGACAUGCUCACUGCAGGAUGGCUCCGUCUCUGCUCCUUGCAGAGACCCUGGCAGAGCGGCCCCGCUCUGGGACACGGGGUUUCCUGGCAGAGGAAACAACAGACAUGGAAGACCAUGAGCAACCUCUGAAAACUUCCGCUCUGUGGGGACACACACCACUCCCAUACACAUUUCUUUGGAAAAAGCAAGCUCAUGGCCUCUGCCGAGUCCAGCACAGUGAGGAUGCACAAACGUCCUCCAGGAAGCGGCAGCAGACGUUCGAUGACGUUACAACCUCCCGCACCCGUGAAAACUCAAAGUCUAGGAACCGUUGAUUUAUGGUAAACAGGUAGUAGUCAUUUUCUAAAGUUAUUACGUUAAAAUAUUUAUUUUAAUUUUAAGAUUACCAAGUAUUUGUAACAUACAGAAAAGUAUAGAGAUUAAUAUAACAAAGACGCAAGGACUCACAUCCCAGAAUUACCACUGUUACCAUGUGCCAUACUGACUUCAGAUCCCUUUGUUAAAGAGGAAACUAAACAUCGUAGGUGCAGUCCAGGCACUCCUGCCAAUCCCUUCUCAUUUAAACUCUCACCUUUCUCGAAGUAACCCUAGUCUGAUGCUAGAAUAAAUAAUUUUAUGUUUAUUCUUUCAUAUUGUAUUACAAAAGUGCUUUAAAAAUAUGUGUAAUGUAAAAUGUACAUAUCUUUCUACAACUUACUUUUCCCAUUCAACAUUAUAUGUUUUAGAUAUAUCCAUGUUGAUGUAUGUAGAUCUGGUUAUUGCAUCAAAGCAUUCAAUAGUAGUAUGUGAUAUGAAUAGAUCACAAUUUAUCCAUGGAGUUGGAACUUUAGUCUGUGUAUAGCUUUUUGUUGUUACAAACAAUUGGACAAUAAACACCUUUAUAUACGUAGAAGACGAGUUUUUCUAAAGUUUAUGCCUUUGAAAUGAUUGAAAUACUUUACCAUAGUGGCCUUGCACGGUUGAAAAAGGUAACUGCUUUGCACACCAAGGUGAAGCUUUACAAAUGGCGGCUCCAAAGGGACCGAUUGAACACGACAUGAGACUGUAUCCUGGUCUUACCUGAAACCAUCCUGGCAGAGAAAAUCAGAGACAACCUCAUGAGACUUUCCUGGGCCCCUGAGUUGUGCAUAAAGCAGUUGAAAGAUCAUCAUCCUACAAAACUAACGGUGUUCCUAGGGGCUGCAAGGAGUGUGGUAAACGUGGGGCUGAGGAGCAGCACACUCGGAGACACCUUGUGGUUGGAUGAGGAAGGCCCAGCGGGGGAUGCCGGGGGUGGACUUGGUGUGCGAGGAAGUCAAAAGGGAUGAUAGGGACUGAAGAGCAGAAGGAAAAGGGGACAUCUCAGCCGAUGUCAAUGAACAGAUGAGGACUGAGGACCAGUUGUCCUUCCCCACGCCCUGACGCAGGUGACUGCGGGGAGAGGGGGUGGAGUUGUAUUGAACUUGCUAUUGCUAGCCAGCGUCCAUUUCCUGCUUUUCCUGUUCUAACAGAACACAAAUUUUGUUCAGGUGUCAACCUCUCCCCGACAGAGCCCAGGUGCUUCAGUUUCGGGGAUAAGGCUAAGUGGAGUAAAGGUAGUCCUAUAUCCCUUGCCAGUAAUUGUUCUAGAAAUGGCCAUGGAAGGCAAUUUGGGCCGAGAAGAACAGAGGAGAGAUUUUCCAGGGCACUCUGAGAAAGUUCUCUCUUACUCCUCUGGAAGAACUUCCGAAGAAUUGUUUUUUCUCUUCCUUUCAAGUUGGAUAGUGUGGCUGUAAUUGCUGCAGCCUGUGGAUAAAAGUGACAUAUGGAGUAAGCAGAACGGAAGGGAUGGGAGCGAAAACAAGCUGGAGUCAUCAUCCCACUCUGUGCUGCUGGUUAUGUGAGCCAACUAGGCCCCUGGUCGCUUCUACCUGUUUGAAUUAUGUUUUUAAUACUUGCUACGAAAAGUGCUGCUUCUAGAGAGUGGCAGGAAGUGUCCGUGUGUGGGAGAGGGGAGCUGAACUGAUAGAUCUUAUUCUGAAUUGACAGAUCAAUUUCAGCCACAAGGCAGAAUGAGAGCCUAAAAUAGAAAUUAACUUCAAUCACAAAAUAUAUGCAAGAAGUCCUUGCUUUCUACAGUUCUGAUAUGCACACAUGUCAGUUACCGUGUUUAGUUAAAUAACACCAGUCUCCAAUAACAUGGCUCAAAUUUCAGUUACUAUGAUGUAAUACAUUAAGUGUAUGUAAUUCAUACAAAUACAAACUUCACUGCUUCCGUCCACAAACGCUGCAUAAAUAACAGAUGCCCAUUGUGACCAGUGACCAAUCACAUCACUUCUUUCAUAGUCCGCUGUCCAUGCACAAAGUCUGUCUACUCAUGUGGGUAGCAAAGCACAUAGUCAUGUUGUCACUGUGUUUCCUGAUGACACACACAGUAUUUUAAUAAAAUGAAUACUUGAAAGACAGAAUUGGCCAAGAAACAUGAAAUGAAGCAAAGAAACAAAAACUGAUAAUGCUGGAGGUGAAGUUUGAAGCAAACAUAAACGUAGAGAAUUUAUGAAAGAGAAGAGAGAGUUGAUGGUGAGGAUGUUGACACCGGCACCCGUGAGAGACCCGAGAUGCACGGUCAGACGAGCUUAAUGGAGGUGAACUGAUCACCACACGUGAGGAAAGUGAUUGUGAUGAAAGUCUGAAGAGGCCCCGGAGAAAGUCCUGCCUGCAGAACCUUCAUGUUAAAGGAAAUCUUAGAGCUAUUUCUUGGAAUUGAAUGUGCGAAGGGUCACAUUUGGAAGCUGACCCAAACUUAGAACGGAGUAUAAUCAUCCAUCAGGACACAGGAAAGACGGUCUGUGCUCAGAAUAAUUUAUACAGCGAAGAAGAUUACCCACUUUAUUUGACUCUGAAUAUCUAUGAACAAUCGAGCUCUUCAGGGCCCAGUUGGGGAAAGACUGGACGCUUGGAGAGAAGUGCCAGUCAAACUGAAGGCUGCCAGCGGGCUAUUGACAAAAAAGGAUUUAGAUCGGAGAGAACGGAAAGAAGAAAAUUUCAGAAAAUUUAGCUUUAGGUACGAUUUCUUAAUUUCAGAAGCAUUUUCAGGACAGAAAGAUGUCAAGCUAAUCAAAUUGAUCUUAACACUUCAAACACAUCAAUAUCUAUCAAAAAUUACUUUUAUAAGGAUGAGAUAUUAAGUGCCAUAACAGUCAGCUAGGAAAACGCAAAUCUUGGACAACAAAAACUUCUGACUGUUUUACCCAGAUGUAAAUGGUGAGCUGCGACACUAAGUUAUGGUAAAUGCUGCAUUCCUAAGAACGGAUAGAGCAGGAGGCUCGCUAACCAGUUACACGACCACGGAAGCCCUUCACCCAUAAGGCCUUGAAAGAGCCUUGAAGGGGUUGAGCAAAUGGAAGGAGAAAUGGGUUUUGUGGACAUUUCUUUGGAGAGUUAUGCUGUGGUGCCUCCCUGGAGCCACUGAGGGGAGGGAGGGUGCUGCUCGCCUCAUUUCUUGCCUGCAGUUGGAGAGAGUUCUGGUGUGUGACUCUGGUCUGGGGUGCCUGGCGGUUGUGGGGGGGCUAGCAGCUUUGGCAGGGGAGGGAGGGAGAGGCUGCUGGGAGUUUGGCUGGGCCUUCUGGCCAAGAAUCGGGGCAAAGGGCACUGGAUGCAGGCUUGUGGCAGAUAGAGCCAGCCUGGACUGUUCUAAAUCCCGCCCAAGAGUCUGUGUGGAGUGGACUGCGGGAAAACCAGAUUCUGAGAGAGAAGAGCAGCUGGAGGAAAACGCACUGCUCGCAUCACAGGAAAUUCAGGCAAAUGUUGCCAACCUGAGGCCUCUGAAGAACUGGCCACGCAAAACAGCUCAAACGUGGGCCAGUCCCGCGGUAUGAGAAGCCCGCUUACGGCAGUGCCUGUUAACCCCCUGAUAUCCUCUGCCCUUGCCUCUCCCACCGCCUGCUUUGACCUUGCUGGGGCUAGAAGUCCAGGCAAGCACGUGAGGAAGGAGAAGUGCUUAGCAAAGAGGCAAAGGAGCCCGCCUUCUCUCAUCCUGUGACCUAGGUGGUGAAGUUUUAAAUGCUCUUUCCACACAAUGAAUUGAGAUUGUCUUUGUAACUGAAAAUGAGUGAGAAGUUCUCUUACAGUAACCAGAUAAACCACAGCACCUAACUUAACGCUCAUCCGAGGGCCGGUGUGUCACCCCCAUCGACCAGGCUUACAGGGACACUCGGGGGCAAAACAAAGCUGCUUUCAUGAUUACCCCACAAGUCUGCUUGGAGGUUCUUUAAAUAAUGAGGGUGAACGAGAGAAUCCGGCUUUGAAUGAAAGGUGGGCAUUGGCUAGACUGAGAGGCGUUUCACCUUGCUGAUAGCAUGAGACGUCAGGGAGGUGGUCUGCAUUCACCUGUGAUUCUUAUAUUGGAUAAGUAUCAGAAUCAUCUGGAAGCCGCAAACCGCAGGAGUUUCUCACUCAGGUGGAAACCAGCAGGUCAACAGCACGGCCCUCAACCCUCCCAAGCGCCCAUGUGAUGCGGAUACAGGGCUGGCAUCUGGGAACCACCCGGAGGUCUCAGUGGAGAUCUGAUUUGGGCUUAUGAGGGUCUGGCUGGCUGUGCUGCACCUGUUAGGGUUUUAUUGAAAAUGGCACACAGAGAGAGUCCACCAACGAACACGGCCUGCGUCUUAUUAAAUGAAUUCGUUUUUAUUACUAUUUAUAAAGCUUAAGAUUUUUCUAAAAGAAAAAAAUCAGUUUACAUGUAGUAAAGUUACAAGUAGACAGCUAUAGAUAAUAUAGCUGUUAGGAAAAAAAAGAACUAAAUAACAGGAAAAAAGCAGUAUG
This is a non-coding RNA of Equus caballus (horse), 6044 nucleotides long. NCBI's taxonomy places the organism in Eukaryota, Metazoa, Chordata, Mammalia, Perissodactyla, Equidae. The record is from RefSeq and is a predicted model, not a curated record.